RNAcentral lists this long non-coding RNA (919 nucleotides) under Struthio camelus australis. RNAcentral describes it as "lncRNA (ENSSCUG00000015001.1)". Lineage: Eukaryota; Metazoa; Chordata; Aves; Struthioniformes; Struthionidae. The record is from RNAcentral.
CUGGUAUAAAUGAUGUUUGGAUUUGCACCAGUGGAGAACCUACUUCUGUAGCCAUCUCACUGCUGAGGAGUGGAUCAGAGGGUCAGAAGCCAAAAGAGCUGCCUGGGAAUCUGUCACCUGUAACUACUGGCAGCCCCUUCCUCUCCCAUUUUUUCCCUCAGGACCACAAUUUGCAUAUAUGCUUCCCCCAGCUCUCUCAACUGCCCCUCCAGCAAUGGGAUUUUGCCUGAUGGGAUGUGCAUCACCUUUCCUUGCAGAUGAUGAUCUCGCUUCACCCCUACUACCCUCACUGUGAGAGAGGAGGCACCAAUGUUCAAGGAAUCGUAAAAUGAGGCAGGCAGGAGCUGGCGAUGAAGGCUCCAGCCUGGGAAAAAUAAACCUGCUAGCCUGGCUAAAGCCAAACAGCACAUGGCCCAAUUAAUAGCCUCCCCACUGUUCCUUUGGGAGGGCCGGCAUUCUCGCCGCCUUUGUCUCGUUUCCUGCUUGCUUCCUCCAUGCCGCUUCCUUUGACUCGGCCCUGCGCAGCCAGGCAGAACGAGAUCCAGCAGCUCCAGUUGCCUCUGGCUGCCUUGAGACUCCUAAGAGAACAGGAGGAUGCAGACAAAUAAGAGUGUUUCUCACCCAGUUUGUUCACUCAAGCAAGCCAAGACCUUCCUAUGCAGUGUGCUCAACCCUUGUGAGACGGGCUUUGGCCAUUAUCAGCAUCCUUGUGCACUGGAGAGGAAGCAUGGAUAUUGGAAGUCACCCAGUGACUGACCCAUCUAGGACUGCUCCACUGCACAGACUGGCUUCAGCGGAUCUAGAGGAGCACUGGGGUGAAGACGUUCGUCAUCAAGACUGCAAAUGCUCCAGAUUGAUUCCAAAUAUUGUUUGCAUCGAACAAAUCCUGCUCACAGAUCAGGACUCUCUUUUGUGCUAA